CUACGUAGGUGACAAGCGUUAUCCGGAUUUACUGGGCGUAAAGGGCGUGUAGGCGGUCUUGCAAGUCAGAAGUGAAAUUCCUGAGCUCAACUCGGGCGCUGCUUCUGAAACUGCAGGACUUGAGUGCUGGAGGGGAUAGCGGAAUUCCUAGUGGAGCGGUAAAAUGCGCAGAUAUUAGGAAGAACACCGGUGGCGAAGGCGGCUAACUGGACAGUAACUGACGCUGAGGCGCGAAAGCGUGGGGAGCAAACAGGAUUAGAUACCCUGGUAGUCCACGCUGUAAACGAUGAAUACUAGGUGUGGGGGGACUGACCCCCUCCGUGCCGCAGUUAACACAAUAAGUAUUCCACCUGGGGAGUACGAUCGCAAGAUUGAAACUCAAAUGAAUUGACGGGG
Molecule: ribosomal RNA, 396 nt
Filed under: uncultured bacterium
Lineage: Bacteria
Description: partial 16S ribosomal RNA
Rfam family: Bacterial small subunit ribosomal RNA
Source: RNAcentral